RNAcentral lists this ribosomal RNA (274 nucleotides) under uncultured bacterium. Its description in RNAcentral is "partial 16S ribosomal RNA". It matches the Rfam family "Bacterial small subunit ribosomal RNA", at positions 523 to 796 of the family's 1533-position model. The record is from RNAcentral.
AUACAGAGGGUGCGAGCGUUAAUCGGAUUUACUGGGCGUAAAGCGUGCGUAGGUGGUUGGGUAAGUCAGAUGUGAAAGCCCCGGGCUUAACCUGGGAACUGCAUUUGAUACUGCCUAGCUAGAGUUUGGUAGAGGGAAGUGGAAUUCCAGGUGUAGCGGUGAAAUGCGUAGAUAUCUGGAGGAACACCAGUGGCGAAAGCGGCUUCCUGGACCGAAACUGACACUGAGGCACGAAAGCGUGGGGAGCAAACAGGAUUAGAAACCCCAGUAGUCC